CCUAGAAGAGCUCGAACGGCCGCAAUUGAAGCAAUUUGCGGAAUCGCCUUUGUGGUUGAUGCCAAUGAUUGAAGUUUCAUCGUGUGAGAGUAUCCCCAGGCGUCUAGCUUACCGUUUUCCUGGGGACCUGCAUUCCGGGCUCAGUGACUGAUAGUCAACCUUACCUGGUUCACGGCUGGCCUCGGGAAGGUGGGAUUAAGCGUGGAUAGGUCAAGUUAUCUUGAAUGACAGUUGAGUUAAAUGUGUAGACCCGCUUUCUCCACGGGUGGUCUCCAGGAUGGGAAAGCGUCUGAUCAGUCUGUUGGGGGUGUAGUGCCCCUCUAAAGCUUUAUAGUGUCGGGGUCUCUAGAGCAGGUGCCCUGGAGAUGCGCCUGGAUUUAAGGGUACAGCUCCUGAGGGGGGCAGCAGGCGUGAAGCCUCAAUAAUCGCGCGAGAGCGUGAGGGGAUUAGUUAGAGUGGUGUCGGCUGACGACAUCUUUGCCCUCCCGUAAUUAGGCAGGCGAAUAAGGGGAGGCCAAGGCUGUUGUCAGCGGAAGCGGUUAGGCUAGCUCUUGGAGUGGUCGGGGGGAUUAUGGGGCUUAAGGCAUCGGUAGCCGGUUUAGUAGGUGGUCUGUUAUAAUCCGUGCGCUUUACGGUUGCCCUCUAGAAGAUACCGCGGGAGUAGGCGGCUGGAGAGGCGCACGGUACUCCCAGCGUAGGGGUAAACUGCUGUGCUACGCGGGAGCGCAACAGGGGGGAGGGCGCUAUUCCAGUACGGGCUCGUCGUUUAGGGAGAAAAACUGGGGGAUCGAGCCUGAUUAGCUGUCUCGGGUAGUUCCAGCAUGUAUCCGGUGCUAGCUAGAUGAUUCAUUCGCAAGUCGUGAAUGAAGCUGUCCGCACAAGACAGGCGAUCAUUCAACUCGCAUGGGGAGAUCGGUGAUCAAGAUCGCAAUCUGAAUCCAACAGGCUCAGGAGCAC
This 957-nucleotide ribosomal RNA is filed under the name uncultured archaeon. RNAcentral describes it as "bacterial SSU rRNA". It matches the Rfam family "Archaeal small subunit ribosomal RNA", at positions 67 to 879 of the family's 1478-position model. The record is from RNAcentral.